This 429-nucleotide ribosomal RNA is filed under the name Actinomycetes bacterium. RNAcentral's name for it is "Actinobacteria bacterium partial 16S ribosomal RNA". It matches the Rfam family "Bacterial small subunit ribosomal RNA", at positions 355 to 776 of the family's 1533-position model. Lineage: Bacteria; Bacillati; Actinomycetota; Actinomycetes. The record is from RNAcentral.
UAGGGAAUCUUCCGCAAUGGGCGAAAGCCUGACGGAGCAACGCCGCGUGAGUGAUGAAGGUCUUCGGAUCGUAAAACUCUGUUAUUAGGGAAGAACAAAUGUGUAAGUAACUAUGCACGUCUUGACGGUACCUAAUCAGAAAGCCACGGCUAACUACGUGCCAGCAGCCGCGGUAAUACGUAGGUGGCAAGCGUUAUCCGGAACUAUUGGGCGUAAAGCGCGCGUAGGCGGUUUUUUAAGUCUGAUGUGAAAGCCCACGGCUCAACCGUGGAGGGUCAUUCGAAACUGGAAAACUUGAGUGCAGAAGAGGAAAGUGGAAUUCCAUGUGUAGCGGUGAAAUGCGCAGAGAUAUGGAGGAACCCCAGUGGCGAAGGCGACUUUCUGGUCUGUAACUGACGCUGAUGUGCGAGAGCGUGGAGAUCAAACAGG